AACGAACGUUGGCGGCGUGGAUUAGGCAUGCAAGUCGCACGAGAAAGGUUUCUUCGGAGACCGAGUAAAGUGGCGGACGGGUGAGUAAUGCAUAGAUAACUUACCCUUCAGAUGGGGAUAACGCUUCGAAAGGAGUGCUAAUACCCAAUGACGUCGCGGGUUGAUGGACCUGUGAUGAAAGGAGGCCUCUGAUUUAAGCUUCCGCUGAGGGAGAGGUUUANGUCCUAUUAGCAGUUGGUGAGGUAAUGGCUCACCAAGGCUGCGAUGGGUAGCCGACCUGAGAGGGUGACCGGCCACACUGGGACUGAGACACUGCCCAGACUCCUACGGGAGCUGCAGUCGAGAAUCUUCCGCAAUGCGCGCAAG
This 366-nucleotide ribosomal RNA is filed under the name uncultured bacterium. Its description in RNAcentral is "bacterial SSU rRNA". It matches the Rfam family "Bacterial small subunit ribosomal RNA", at positions 29 to 381 of the family's 1533-position model. The record is from RNAcentral.